AACGAACGCUGGCGGCAUGCCUAACACAUGCAAGUCGAACGAGACCUUCGGGUCUAGUGGCGCACGGGUGCGUAACGCGUGGGAACCUGCCCUUAGGUUCGGAAUAACUCCCCGAAAGGGGUGCUAAUACCGGAUAAUGUCUUCGGACCAAAGAUUUAUCGCCUUUGGAUGGGCCGGCGUUGGAUUAGCUAGUUGGUAGGGUAAAAGCCUACCAAGGCGACGAUCCAUAGCUGGUCUGAGAGGAUGAUCAGCCACACUGGGACUGGGACACGGCCCAGACUCCUACGGGAGGCAGCAGUGGGGAAUAUUGGAAAAUGGGCGAAAGCCUGAUCCAGCAAUGCCGCGUGAGUGAUGAAGGCCUUAGGGUUGUAAAGCUCUUUUACCCGGGAUGAUAAUGACAGUACCGGGAGAAUAAGCUCCGGCUAACUCCGUG
This 433-nucleotide ribosomal RNA is filed under the name uncultured bacterium. Its description in RNAcentral is "partial 16S ribosomal RNA". It matches the Rfam family "Bacterial small subunit ribosomal RNA", at positions 29 to 507 of the family's 1533-position model. The record is from RNAcentral.